Molecule: ribosomal RNA, 165 nt
Filed under: Tetraploa sp.
Lineage: Eukaryota; Fungi; Ascomycota; Dothideomycetes; Pleosporales; Tetraplosphaeriaceae
Description: partial large subunit ribosomal RNA
Rfam family: Eukaryotic large subunit ribosomal RNA
Source: RNAcentral
CGGCAACAGCUCAAAUUUGAAAUCUGGUGCCUCCGGCGCCCGAGUUGUAAUUUGCAGAGGGUGCUUUGGCGCUGGCGCCAGCCUAAGUUCCUUGGAACAGGACGUCACAGAGGGUGAGAAUCCCGUACGUGGCCGGCUGCCUCCGCCUUGUAAAGCCCCUUCGAC